This is a non-coding RNA of Paramisgurnus dabryanus, 1249 nucleotides long. Lineage: Eukaryota; Metazoa; Chordata; Actinopteri; Cypriniformes; Cobitidae. The record is from RefSeq and is a predicted model, not a curated record.
GAUAUUCAAAAAGUAUAUACCUCAAAGAAAACAAUGACGCGAGUUAUCGUCUCUAACGUUCGAGGACUACAAAAAACACUCGGAUUGUAGGCAACAGUUUACUUCCUGGGAUUAGUGACGUAGAUAAGACCAACAUUAUCAUAGUUCAGCCCUCUCUGCUUUGCUUGGGUACGCCCUCAAAGACGGGGGUGGGGAGCGCCGAGUCAGAACAGAAGAGAGCUAAAAUGGCGGAGGUUGUGAGUCCCUGCUUUGACUCUGUUUGCAAACUCUUGUUUCAUCGUUUAAGCGAUUAAAUCUCUCGAGUAGACGCUGUCUCUUUAGAUGCAAGGGCAAAAUAGCACUUUAUGGACUUCCACAGAGGACAUCAUGUUUAAUACGGUUCCGGAAAAAUCCAGUCAGAAGUUGUUCACGGAGUUUUCACAAUAACUGCUUCUCAUGAACCGAAGCUGGAUUUGCGCGACGUCUCCUCCUGAAAGUUGGAUUACUGUGCACUUCUGGAUCACAGGCUAUUCGCAGCUGGACACAUCCUUCUACACUGUAUGCAAACAUGCAACAUCAUUACACACAGUACAAGGAGUCAGACUGGCAUAUGAGGAGCAAAGGAACCCAGGCAGUAGCAUCGUUUCACAAUGUUUCCAUCACCAUCAUCAGUGGAUGCCUUUGCCGUCCGUAGCCUGAGAUUUCAGAUUUGCAGCAAAAAAAAUUGAUUUUCUAAUUUAUUGGAAUGCUGUGCAGGUUGUACCUUGCAGCCAUCCAUUACAAUGUCACCAAGCCGUAACAAAAGCAGGAGAGGGAAAGUACAAGGCUAUGUUCCCAAAACACACAAGUGACAUACCUUAUGUGGAGGAUGUGAUCAGGCUUGUGUUUGAUGAGGUAUUUGAAGAUAAGCUGAAGGAAACCCCGAUUCCAAUGGACCUGGCAUCACAGUUUGAGAGACCUUCAAAGGAGAACGUGAUUGCAUGCCAUCUUCAGUGCAGGGGUCGUCGAAAGCCAAAAUUGUGACCGAUCUGAUCAGGAAGCUCCAAGCAUAUCUGGAGAACAACACACGACAGGAUGAUAACCUUAUAGUGUCGUCUUAAAUAGCACCAGCUGACAAAGCUUUGAUAUGCCAUUUAUCUGAAUAGAUAGCUGUAAGAAAUGAAUUGAACAAUUUUUGAAACAAGAGCACAAUAUGGUUACUAAAGUAUGUUUAUUUGUAUAUUGUUUAACAUUUAAAUAUAUAUUUGUAAUAAAUAAAUAAAAACUUUUG